UACCCUACGGGGGGCAGCAGUGAGGAAUAUUGGUCAAUGGCCGAGAGGCUGAACCAGCCAAGUCGCGUGAGGGAUGACGGCCCUACGGGUCGUAAACAUCUUUUGUCGGGGAGCAAGACCCGCCUCGUGCAGGCGGAGCGAGAGUACCCGAAGAAAAAGCAUCGGCUAACUCCGCGCCAGCAGCCGCGGUAAUACGUAGGGGGCGAACGUUAUCCGGAAUUACUGGGUGUAAAGGGAGCGUAGACGGCGAGGGAAGCCUGCAGUGG
This 266-nucleotide ribosomal RNA is filed under the name uncultured bacterium. RNAcentral describes it as "partial 16S ribosomal RNA". It matches the Rfam family "Bacterial small subunit ribosomal RNA", at positions 335 to 597 of the family's 1533-position model. The record is from RNAcentral.